RNAcentral lists this ribosomal RNA (390 nucleotides) under uncultured bacterium. RNAcentral describes it as "bacterial SSU rRNA". It matches the Rfam family "Bacterial small subunit ribosomal RNA", at positions 28 to 420 of the family's 1533-position model. The record is from RNAcentral.
GACGAACGCUGGCGGCGUGCUUAACACAUGCAAGUCGAGCGGUAAGGCCCUUUCGGGGUACGACGAGCGGCGAACGGGUGAGUAACACGUGGGUGACCUGCCCUUAGCUCUGGGAUAAGCCUGGGAAACUGGGUCUAAUACCGGAUAUGACUCCAUGACGCAUGUUGUGGGGUGGAAAGCCUUGUGCGGCUAGGGAUGGGCCCGCGGCCUAUCAGCUUGUUGGUGGGGUGAUGGCCUACCAAGGCGACGACGGGUAGCCGGCCUGGGAGGGCGACCGGCCACACUGGGACUGAGACACGGCCCAGACUCCUACGGGAGGCAGCAGUGGGGAAUCUUGCGCAAUGGGCGAAAGCCUGACGCAGCGACGCCGCGUGGGGAUGACGGCCUCGG